AAGAUGUGUUAUAACAGCGUCAGCUCUUUCAUUAGUAAUAGGAUAAUGGCUGAUAUCCCCGCCUGCUGGACAGAGGUUAGAGAGGUUUUUACUACUCGGGAAAUAUUUUCCCCAGAAUACCCAAUCAUUCCAGCCUUAUUAGCAUCUGUAUAAAAUGGGAAUUCCAAGGACUAGAGGAAGGUUCAAUAUGUUCAGCUUGUAAUUGUUCCUGUACUAAGUCAUGCAGCGCUUCUAAUUUCUCCUGAUGAAGGGGCCACUGUUCCACCCAGAUGGGU
This is a long non-coding RNA of Miniopterus natalensis, 275 nucleotides long. RefSeq lists it as uncharacterized. Lineage: Eukaryota; Metazoa; Chordata; Mammalia; Chiroptera; Miniopteridae. The record is from RefSeq and is a predicted model, not a curated record.